UGGACAAUGGAGAGGCAUUCUUAAGAGUGUCUAAUGAUGGGAAAAAAAGAAAAAAUAUUUAUUGUUUUUGACAGUUUCACAAGGGGCAAAAAUCCUUGUCAUGGUUAAAGUUUCCACAGCUGUUGGAGGGAAAGGGUGGGCUCCUCAGGACUAAAACAGUUCCACUCUUUUGUGUUGGAGGCAAAGCACAAGAGCCAAGCUGUGAAAUUAAAGACUAAGUUCAUUAAGAGAGCUGAUGUCUUUGCAAAAGGAAACCGCGGAAGUGACUUGUAACCUACCAGUCAUGUUUUAAAAGCCUUGCAGGCAACUCUGAAGAUGAGCCAGGGACCACAUCAGUGUGAACUGACCUCCUCCUUCCUUUUAUACUUUCAUUUCACUUGAAGGUCUUCAAGGCAACUCACAUCUGAUUUUUGGGGUAAAAGCAAUAAAAUAAAUUAAGGCUAACAAGCUACAAUGAAAGAUGGGGAAGCUAUGUUUACUGAGGCCACACACAAGAGAACAAGAGAAAGGUGGAGCCUCCUCAAGAAGCCCCCCCCCCACGGAUGACUGGCAUCCCCAGGCAGCGGCACCCACUCCAGUUCACAUGCAGGGGGAGUCUCACCAUGAAGUGGAAGCAAUCCUGGACUCUAGAAUGCAUUGCAACCGCCUGCAGUAUCUGAUUGCCUGGACCCAUUUCCCAGCUGGGCACAACGGGUGGACUCAGGACAUGUGCAAGCCCCCCGUUUAGUGAAAGCUUUCCACCGGGCUUACCCUGACCGUCCAGGGGAGGGGAAAGUCUUAAAGGGGGCGGAAUGUCAGGACUGAGCCCGUCAGUGCCAAAUGGUCUUCCCCUCGGCGCCCCAGGGUAUCCCGGACACAGUUCUUGUCAAAGGAAGGUGUGAACUGUUCCAGGCUCGCAAUGCUUUGUAGUGAAUGUUUUGUAGUUUGUAGGGGGGAGUUGAAGCCUUUUGGCUUGGUGGGAGGGGGCAACGGGAUAUAGGUUUGUGCGGGAAUUGCCAGAUUCCUCUUUUACGAUGUUACCUACGCUCUGAAUGUAAAGGCUUUAGAGCAAAUCUACAGUUUCCGUGAUUUCCAGAUUCAAGGUCUGACAAUAGAACCCUGGAAGCUAAUCCUAGCACUUUCAAUCUUCCAGCUGCUAGCAAUCAAGUAGUCUCAUGGCACAAACUGAGUUUUGCAAUAUUGCUUCAUCUUUUGUUUUGCUUGUAGUUGUUGUUAUCUGGGAGGUGAUCCUUUAAAAAAAUAUCUUUGGCAAUACCUCUCUAUUCAUUUUCUUGGGCAUAAGCCCACUAAAUUUAGUAGAACUUACUUCUAGGGAACCAUGAACUGCCCUGCAAGAAUCAGAAAAGUGGAGGAGAUUUUGAAAAAGAAACACCUCAAUUUAAGUAGCCCAUGCCACACAGAGUCAGUUAUAAAUUUGGGUUUGCUACUGAAACUCACAUGGAGCCAUAUCUAGUUUUUGCACCUGAAUUUGUUUGCCUAAACCCUAUCAAACUGAAAGGUAGACCUUUUAAUCAUGUUUUUUAACCCUUUGUAUAAGGAAUUUGUUGUGGGAGGGAGGGAUUGUGUGGGUAGUGUAAGAGGGAUUGUGAUGUAAGGUGAGUGGACAGAUUGGUAUCUGGUGGGAGGCCCACUUGGAGUCAGGGAUCGCUGUUGUUGGGGGCCGAGGGAGGUAGAAUGGUGUAGGAGUUUCUCUAAGGGGAGAGCAAGAAGAGAUGGUUAUGCUCAAUGCUCUUCUAAUCUCUGUCCCAUCUCAAGGCAUGUUGGUGUGGAGGCUAGGGAAGUUAACCCAUCUUUGACACUAGUGUUGUGCAAUGACAAAUCUAUCAAUAAUAAAAUGAAGACUGCAA
Long non-coding RNA from Sphaerodactylus townsendi, 1847 nucleotides. RefSeq lists it as uncharacterized. The record is from RefSeq and is a predicted model, not a curated record. The transcript is spliced from 5 exons. NCBI's taxonomy places the organism in Eukaryota, Metazoa, Chordata, Lepidosauria, Squamata, Sphaerodactylidae.